UUUAAGAUUUAUUUAUUUAUUAGAGAGAGGAGGGAAGGGGUAGAGGAAAAGGGAGAGAGAGUCACAAGCAGACUCCACACUGAGCACGGAGCCCAAUGCAGGGCUCAGUCUCAUGACCCUGAGAUCAUGACCUGAGCCAAAACCAAGAGUAGGUGACUUAACCGACUGAGCCACCCAGGUGCACCUUGAUGUCCCUUUGUGUAGAUGAUCAUGGCCCAGGCUCAGGGUGCCUGAGGCAGCUGCCCUCAGUCCAGCCCUGCUCUGCUGGUCCCCCAUUUGUCACCAGGGAGCCUCUUGACCCGCUGAACUCAGAACUGACCUCCUGAACUCAGGAAACUCCAAGAAGCUUCCGCCUGUCAAUUUCAUCUUUUAGAAACUAACAAGUUGCGGAAACAGGAAAAGAAAUGUCUGGGAACCAUACCUGUCCAGAUUACAUACUAGGAUCAAGUGGCACGUCUAAUGAUUUCCAUAAUUUCAAAGUCACCAUCAACAUGACCAGUAUUUCAAGAUCUCUGCAGCAACCGUAACGGGACAUGAACGCUAUGAUUUCUAUUUGUGACAACGACCUAAAUGCCAAAGUUAAUCAUGGGAGGAGAUGCUAAAUUUCGGUUAGAGAGAGAGAGCACAGCAGAGGGAGAGGGAGAAGCAGACUCCCGGCUGAGCAGGGAGCCCCGAUGUGGGGCUAGAUCUCAGGACCCUGGAUCAUGACCUGAGCUGAAGGCAGACGCUUAAUCGACUGAGCCACCCAGGCGCCCCAUCACAAAGUUUUAUUUUGAGAGAAUCCACAGCCUUUCUCCUGAGCUCACCAUCCUGUUUUGUCACCUCUCAGGACACCCACAGAACGGUCACAUUGAUCUCUAAGGUGGUUGGGCAUCCAGGAGCUAUGAUUUACCUGUGAGCAGAGGUGAUUAUUACCCUGUCAAUGGGAGAGCUUCAAUCCUGCAAGGUGACCUCCCUUUGAGCUUUGACAAGUCACUCUCUUUCACCCAGUCUCAGUUUCUACUUUUCUGAAACAGGGUGAUAAACUGUCCUCCCUUGGUUUUGGGGGAAGUUGUAAAGAUUGGCUAAAAUCAUAACAAUAAGGAGGGGGGAGGACGUGCUAUGUCCAUGGGAGGAAUUGUCACCUGUGAUGUUGUCAUUGCCAUGAGUUAGGACUGAGCCUACCCUCCCCUUGCCUUUAGAAGUCAAAGAUAUGGAUCAUGGGGGAGGGGGGAGAAAAGAAGUUAAAGAUCAAUUACCCCAAUAAAUAUCGAUAAAAAGUAAGAUCCA
RNAcentral lists this long non-coding RNA (1269 nucleotides) under Ursus maritimus (polar bear). Its description in RNAcentral is "lncRNA (ENSUMAG00000022751.1)". The record is from RNAcentral. Lineage: Eukaryota; Metazoa; Chordata; Mammalia; Carnivora; Ursidae.